This 2418-nucleotide small RNA is filed under the name Pan troglodytes (chimpanzee). Its description in RNAcentral is "retained intron". The record is from RNAcentral. Lineage: Eukaryota; Metazoa; Chordata; Mammalia; Primates; Hominidae.
GUCCUGGUCUGCGUGGAGGUCGACGACUCCGUCGCAGACUACGGACCUGUCUGGGUCUCAGCCGCCAAAGACCCCGUCCGGUAGGUGAGUGGCUCACUUUGAGGGCAAGCCUUCUCGGAUCGAGGCUUCUUCAUGGCCGCUCUCUUUGCGGAGGAUGGCGUCUAAUGAGCGCAGUUGAUUCGAGGAAGUACUAGCCGGACAUCAUGAGUGGCUGUCGGGUAUUCAUCGGGAGACUAAAUCCAGCGGCCAGGGAGAAGGACGUGGAAAGAUUCUUCAAGGGAUAUGGACGGAUAAGAGAUAUUGAUCUGAAAAGAGGCUUUGGUUUUGUGGAAUUUGAGGAUCCAAGGGAUGCAGAUGAUGCUGUGUAUGAGCUUGAUGGAAAAGAACUCUGUAGUGAAAGGGUUACUAUUGAACAUGCUAGGGCUCGGUCACGAGGUGGAAGAGGUAGAGGACGAUACUCUGACCGUUUUAGUAGUCGCAGACCUCGAAAUGAUAGACGAAAUGCUCCACCUGUAAGAACAGAAAAUCGUCUUAUAGUUGAGAAUUUAUCCUCAAGAGUCAGCUGGCAGGUUUGUUGAAAUACAGUUUUGAGUUAUUUUGAUGUGGCUUUUUAAAAAAGUUAAUGGGUAGCUAAUGUUUUAUUGUUUUAUUAAACGUAGUUUUAAAUUAAUGGAUUUAAUGGAAUUGUAAUUUUAAACAUUUAAUUAAAUGUAAUUUGGGGGAUAUUUUGAACUUUAAUAUUAGUGAUCAAAUGUAAAUGUUUUGAGGAUAUUUUUCUUGUUUUUUAAAAUCAAUUUUUAACCAAAUAUUAAACCCUUUAUUUGCCAGCCUGUCUGUGUCGUUGGCCUUAUGACGAGGAGUGCCUGUGGGUUAUCCUAAUCGUUGUCUUGGUCACUCUUGGUUGGGCCUGGUUGACUUUGCCAGUCAGCUCCUACAGUGAUCAGUUGGCCACCUCUAGAUCUGUGUUUGCCGGUCUAGACGUUAUCGGUGCACUUCCUUGAAGUGCCAGGUUGCAGCGAUCCCAGAGCGUUGAUAACGUGAUCUGAUCCCUAAGUUGAGACCUGUCUUCCUGUAACGCUUCCGAAUAAGAGGUCCGGUCGAAAAGAGUUGAAAGAUACGAAAUUAGGUGGUCGUUGGAAUCCUGAUCGCAGUAAAGUGGUCCUUGGUAACUGCUCGAGUAGAACAUGUCUGCAUCCGCCAAUAGUCCGCUAAUAGGGAGGGCUGUGCGAUUAAAGGCUUCCAUCGAUUGGGUAGUGUCCUUCAAGUGGGUGGCGAAGAGCCAGUCGGGCAUAUGUCAUGAAGGUUUCUCCGACCGAUUAAUGGUUUGCUGCUUGACUAGCCUAGGGAAAUAAUAAUAAAGGUAAAGUAAACUUUUUUAAUGACAUAUGGGGCACAAAAUAACUGGUGUCUUGUAAAUGUUCUGUUUUUUUAAAUAAAACUUCUCUACUUUAGUCUUUACUUUAAAAAUAUGUACUGUUUCCUUUUUUGUUGUUUUUUUGUUUGUUUUUUUUUCUUUUGUACUGAGCUCAGCAUAGACUAAUACUACCUUAAUGUUAAAAUCUGAAUUUCUUUUAGCAUUUUGCUUAAAAGCAAUAUGCUAUUUGCUUAUUCCGUGCCCUGACAUAGAUAAUUUUUGAAUUCUGAUAGAAUACAAGUGUGGUAAAUGCCAUGUUUGUACUUUAUCUAACAUCUUCUCUUUCAGUAGUCUUGUUUUUUUUAUAUCAUGUGAUUGUUUGUGUGUCCCCUUUCCUCUUCUUUGCUUAACACAAUUAUCUUGUGUUAAGGAUCUCAAAGAUUUCAUGAGACAAGCUGGGGAAGUAACGUUUGCGGAUGCACACCGACCUAAAUUAAAUGAAGGGGUGGUUGAGUUUGCCUCUUAUGGUGACUUAAAGAAUGCUAUUGAAAAACUUUCUGGAAAGGAAAUAAAUGGGAGAAAAAUAAAAUUAAUUGAAGGCAGCAAAAGGCACAGUAGGUCAAGAAGCAGGUCUCGAUCCCGGACCAGAAGUUCCUCUAGGUCUCGUAGCCGAUCCCGUUCCCGUAGUCGCAAAUCUUACAGCCGGUCAAGAAGCAGGAGCAGGAGCCGGAGCCGGAGCAAGUCCCGUUCUGUUAGUAGGUCUCCCGUGCCUGAGAAGAGCCAGAAACGUGGUUCUUCAAGUAGAUCUAAGUCUCCAGCAUCUGUGGAUCGCCAGAGGUCCCGGUCCCGAUCAAGGUCCAGAUCAGUUGACAGUGGCAAUUAAACUGUAAAUAACUUGCCCUGGGGGCCUUUUUUUAAAAAACAAAAACCACAAAAAUUCCCAAACCAUACUUGCUAAAAAUUCUGGUAAGUAUGUGCUUUUCUGUGGGGGUGGGAUUUGGAAGGGGGGUUGGGUUGGGCUGGAUAUCUUUGUAGAUGUGGACCACCAAGGGGUUGUUGAAAAC